RNAcentral lists this ribosomal RNA (497 nucleotides) under uncultured bacterium. RNAcentral describes it as "partial 16S ribosomal RNA". It matches the Rfam family "Bacterial small subunit ribosomal RNA", at positions 28 to 507 of the family's 1533-position model. The record is from RNAcentral.
GAUGAACGCUGGCGGCGUGCCUAAUACAUGCAAGUCGAGCGAACAGACGAGGAGCUUGCUCCUCUGACGUUAGCGGCGGACGGGUGAGUAACACGUGGAUAACCUACCUAUAAGACUGGGAUAACUUCGGGAAACCGGAGCUAAUACCGGAUAAUAUAUUGAACCGCAUGGUUCAAUAGUGAAAGACGGUUUUGCUGUCACUUAUAGAUGGUUCCGCGCCGCAUUAGCUAGUUGGUAAGGUAACAGCUUACCAAGGCAACGAUGCGUAGCCGACCUGAGAGGGUGAUCGGCCACACGGGAACUGAGACACGGUCCAGACGCCUAAGGGAGGCAGCAGUAGGGAAUCUGACGCAAUGGGCGAAAGCAUGACGGAGCAACGCCGCGUGAGUGAUGAAGGCCUUCGGAUCGUAAAACUCUGUUAUUGGGGAAGAACAAAUGUGGAAGUAAAUAUGCACGUCGUGACGGUACCUAAUCAAAAAGCAACGGCUAACUACGUG